Molecule: ribosomal RNA, 500 nt
Filed under: uncultured bacterium
Lineage: Bacteria
Description: partial 16S ribosomal RNA
Rfam family: Bacterial small subunit ribosomal RNA
Source: RNAcentral
AUUGAACGCUGGCGGCAUGCCUUACACAUGCAAGUCGAACGGCAGCACGGGAGCAAUCCUGGUGGCGAGUGGCGAACGGGUGAGUAAAGUAUCGGAACGUGCCCAGUCGUGGGGGAUAACGUAGCGAAAGUUACGCUAAUCCCGCAUACGAUCUACGGAUGAAAGCGGGGGAUCGCAAGACCUCGCGCGAUUGGAGCGGCGUAUAUCCGAUUAGGUAGUUGGUGGGGUAAAGGCUCACCAAGCCGACGAUCUGUAGCUGGUCUGAGAGGACGACCAGCCACACUGGGACUGAGACACGGCCCAGACUCCUACGGGAGGCAGCAGUGGGGAAUUUUGGACAAUGGGCGCAAGCCUGAUCCAGCCAUGCCGCGUGCAGGAUGAAGGCCUUCGGGUUGUAAACUGCUUUUGUACGGAACGAAAAGGUUUGGCCUAAUAAGCUGGACCCAUGACGGUACCGUAAGAAUAAGCACCGGCUAACUACGUGCCAGCCGCCGCCGUAA